Molecule: ribosomal RNA, 836 nt
Filed under: uncultured Pseudomonadota bacterium
Lineage: Bacteria; Pseudomonadati; Pseudomonadota
Description: bacterial SSU rRNA
Rfam family: Bacterial small subunit ribosomal RNA
Source: RNAcentral
GAUUGAACGCUGGCGGCAGGCUUAACACAUGCAAGUCGAGCGGAGAUGAGGUGCUUGCACCUUAUCUUAGCGGCGGACGGGUGAGUAAUGCUUAGGAAUCUGCCUAUUAGUGGGGGACAACAUUCCGAAAGGAAUGCUAAUACCGCAUACGCCCUACGGGGGAAAGCAGGGGAUCUUCGGACCUUGCGCUAAUAGAUGAGCCUAAGUCGGAUUAGCUAGUUGGUGGGGUAAAGGCCUACCAAGGCGACGAUCUGUAGCGGGUCUGAGAGGAUGGUCCGCCACACUGGGACUGAGACACGGCCCAGACUCCUACGGGAGGCAGCAGUGGGGAAUAUUGGACAAUGGGCGGAAGCCUGAUCCAGCCAUGCCGCGUGUGUGAAGAAGGCCUUUUGGUUGUAAAGCACUUUAAGCGAGGAGGAGGCUACCUGGAUUAAUACUCUAGGAUAGUGGACGUUACUCGCAGAAUAAGCACCGGCUAACUCUGUGCCAGCAGCCGCGGUAAUACAGAGGGUGCGAGCGUUAAUCGGAUUUACUGGGCGUAAAGCGUGCGUAGGCGGCUGAUUAAGUCGGAUGUGAAAUCCCUGAGCUUAACUUAGGAAUUGCAUUCGAUACUGGUCAGCUAGAGUAUGGGAGAGGAUGGUAGAAUUCCAGGUGUAGCGGUGAAAUGCGUAGAGAUCUGGAGGAAUACCGAUGGCGAAGGCAGCCAUCUGGCCUAAUACUGACGCUGAGGUACGAAAGCAUGGGGAGCAAACAGGAUUAGAUACCCUGGUAGUCCAUGCCGUAAACGAUGUCUACUAGCCGUUGGGGCCUUUGAGGCUUUAGUGGCGCAGCUAACG